CCCACUGAAAACGCUGUGUCCAGAUGAACAGAGUCAACUUUUUGGGGGCAUAAGAUACAAUGUAACAUUGGUUCCUUGCUACAUUGUCUGUUAUGUGUAGACACAACACAGGUUCAUCCCUUGAGUUAGGUGUCUUUUUGGUGCCUUUUUUUAAAAUUCCAAGGUCAUUGUUAACAAAAACAAAUAUUUCUCUUAAAAUGUUGAACUACAAGGACUGGACUGGAAAACGAGUGAAAACACAGUCAAUAUUUAAAGAAAGACUUUGAAAGACCGGCAGAAACCCUGGAGAACUAUUGCUCAAGACCAGUUAAAAAAUAUAUGAAAGUCUGGCUCCUUAGAAAGAAAAUCUAAAGAAGUACAAUAGUGCUUAUUAUUUUUAGGUUUGUGGGAGAUGUAUCAUGGAAGGAAAGGAGAAAUAUGCUGCAGGCAAACUCAGUGCCUGUCCAUUCAAGUUAAUGAUGAAUGAGUCUCUACCUCUACCUGCAGAAUGUCUAAAGCAGAGUGAAACAACACUAGUGCAAGUCCCUGCAGAUUGCCACUCCAAAGUGUUGGAGUUUUCUACCCCGAUUCUUCUUCCUUCCAGUUUCAAGGAUCAAAUGAUUUGAAUGUAUGUUAACCAGACAGGUUAAGUCAACUUAACAACUUUAUUCACAUGCAGGAUUCUCAUGAACUCAACUUCUCAGCGUAAAAUAUGACACUUCAAGGGAAGUAAAAAAAAUCCCCUUGCUUCUUUUGAGGUAUUACAUUGUAUGUACUGUAAUAAAAGUAAGUCGCAGGGAUCGUUAGAUUAUGUGGCCCCUGUGUCUGAAACAGUACUGGGGUUGUACUACAGUACUGCAUUUCCCCUUUUCAGUGAAGCCAAGGAGUAAACCUGCAUGCUGUUGUGUUUAGCCCAAACCAUUAAACUCUACAAAAUCAACUAUCUUUGCUAAGCAGUGCACUAUCUGCACAGGCGCUGAUGAAACAGGAGACUAACAAACCACAUUGAGCUGGCCUUUAUCACUGAGAAAGAGUCAUUUAACAGGGUCAAAAACAACAGAUGGAUUAGGAGCAAAGGACUUAUGACAGGCUGAGGCACAGCUCUUCGUCUCAGUCGCUGAUUUAUAAGUGCCGGAGAGCAGAGAUUCCUAAGCAGGCUGGUGACUGUUUGUGACUCCUACAGAGCGCAGUGAAGCUCAACACUGAAGCAGUGAGUGAGCAGAUCGGCCCCCGAGGCGAAGGAAAACUGUCCAAAUGGACUCCAACGGUGCCGGCAGCGUGCAGUACGACCGCUGGAAUGAGGACAACAUCAACAUGAAUGUAGAGGCUUCACAGUCCUCACUGCAGAUGAUCUGCAACAGCAUGUGUGUCGGCAGCACUGGAAUAGUAGUAAAAGCAGCAGGAGCCGCAGCUGCACUGGUGGCUGUUUACAUCAUAGGAUAUAUGACGGGGUACUACAUCCAUCGAUGCCCGUAGGGGAACCAGGAGGUCAGGAAAGAAAAGAGAUUUAAAACACACCAAAAAAGCAUAAGCUUCAUAUGCAGAAUGAGCUGUGACUGAAUCGGAUUUAUUGUGAUCAGAAAAUAUACAAAUUCAUGGUUCAUACUGAUAUUACUGCACAUGAAAAUGAAGUUAUAUCAUUAUAUGAUGUUAUAUGAAAUGUAAAAUAUUAAUUCAUAUCCUUCUUCAUAAUGAUACUGGGAUAAAUUGUACUUGUUUCCUGCUUCGGAGAUUCUGUCAUAAUUAUCAGAUUUUCCCUUCACUGUCAAAAAAUAUCAGGCUGUGUUUUUUUGUCCAAACUGAUAACUAGAGAUAAAAUCCUUCGGGCAGGAGAUACCUUUGGAUCUACUGACUGGUAUUUCUGUGGGCUGUAGGAGUCUUAGAUCACCUUUAGACUGAGGGUGAGGAACGGUUUAGACAAACAUUUGUGAGACAUUUGAAGGUCAGCGACUGUGGGGGGGACUUUUCCUGAAUCUGGAGCAACUUAGAAGUUAAUGGAUGACUGAGUAAGUUUAAUGUUUCCUACUGCUGGUCGUUCAGUAACACUCAAACUCAUCCAGACCUUCUGCGUUUGUUCGAUUUCUUCCCAAUUGUUCUGAACAUCUGCAGCUUCAACAGUUUUGGCUCUCGACUUCCUUUAAUACAUUUGUAUUUAACACAUCUACUCCACACACAUACUCCAGUACAUCACUAAGCAGUAAAGACAAAAGUGAUGUUUAAAAAGGUACUUUUUUAUUUUUAUGCUAAAAAGUGAUACAUUUUUAAACCUCAACUCAAUCUAAGUUAUCUCUGUUUUUCAUGAAACACAACCUCAGUGUUUUCUUAAUGAACUGAACUUUAGAGAGCCUGUCGUGUUUUGUGGUAUCAGAUCGUUUUAAUAUUUUAAAUCUAUUAAGUGUUUCUUGGUUUCAUAUGACACAGUCCUGCAAACGAUACAAAUUAAGUUUAAGCUUUAUGUAAGUUUAUUAAGAGUUAAACUGACAUGAAAGUUAAUGCCUAUGAAUCAUAGUGCAAACAAUACCAACCAUUUACAUUUAAAAGCACUGUAAAUGUGUUAAUGUGGUAUUCUAGCCAUUGUUAUGGAGACCAUAAGUGAUCUGCUGUCAGACAGGAAAACGCAUCUUCUUGUGCCAGAACUACUUUGUACAACACUUCAUGUAGCUAAUCGGUCUCUGUGGUAUUUAGACCUCCUGUGCAUCAUUUCCCAAAUGGCAGAUUGUCUUUGUACAGCCGAGCUGUCGGCUUUCAAACUGUUUUUCCCAUUUUCCUUAUGUUAGUUUAUUUCUCGCACAUUAUUGGUUCCUGUUAGAUUUCCUCCUGUAGCACUUGGUUUGUUUUGCCCCCUGGUGGAAUUAACCACCUGUUUGUAUGACUUCAACUUGUUAAAAGAUUCAGAUUUCAGAUGUUA
Molecule: long non-coding RNA, 2887 nt
Organism: Oreochromis niloticus (Nile tilapia)
Lineage: Eukaryota; Metazoa; Chordata; Actinopteri; Cichliformes; Cichlidae
Exons: 3
Source: RefSeq, a predicted model, not a curated record